Molecule: ribosomal RNA, 434 nt
Filed under: uncultured bacterium
Lineage: Bacteria
Description: partial 16S ribosomal RNA
Rfam family: Bacterial small subunit ribosomal RNA
Source: RNAcentral
AGCGAACGCUGGCGGCAGGCCUAACACAUGCAAGUCGAACGAACCUUUCGGGGUUAGUGGCGGACGGGUGAGUAACACGUGGGAACGUGCCUUUAGGUUCGGAAUAACUCAGGGAAACUUGUGCUAAUACCGAAUGUGCCCUUCGGGGGAAAGAUUAAUCGCCUUUAGAGCGGCCCGCGUCUGAUUAGCUAGUUGGGUGAGGUAAUGGCUCACCAAGGCGACGAUCAGUAGCUGGUCUGAGAGGAUGAUCAGCCACAUUGGGACUGAGACACGGCCCAAACUCCUACGGGAGGCAGCAGUGGGGAAUCUUGCGCAAUGGGCGAAAGCCUGACGCAGCCAUGCCGCGUGAAUGAUGAAGGUCUUAGGAUUGUAAAAUUCUUUCAACGGGGACGAUAAUGACGGUACCCGGAGAAGAAGCCCCGGCUAACUUCGUG